GUGAGAUAUCGCGUGCAUCUAACACACAGACAUACACACAAACAGACAUACAAAUACCUAUCAACAUACUUACCGAUCUUAAGAUCGAUAAGUCAUUAGCGGCAAUGCCAAUCGUGCAACAGUAUGAAGCGCACACUCGCACAGAAGAUCACCAACAAAUUAAGUGCCGAUCCUACUUCAUCGUGAUUACUAUACGUUACAAAGCGUGGAAAAUCAUUUCAAGAUUUCACUUAGAAGCGAAACACCUCGCUAACGGCGAAAAGUGGCUACUAUUCGGAAUUAUUAGAAAAUCAGCCAAAAAGAUAACAAAUGGUACAUUUUUGAUAACAUAGUUAUUAUCAUCAUGAGAUCAGCUGGAAAUGAAAUCAACGAUUCCUUACAAAUGGCUUCAUCGAAUUUUGAUAUUCAAGAAACUUGUAAAAGUUUAACUCAAGUCAUUGAAACCUGUGGUGUUAAUUCACUUGGAAAUAUUUUUCAAAAAAAGAUAUCUUUAUCAACAGAACAUAUAAAUAGUGUGUGGUGAGAAGCGGAGUUUCUAUGGCAGACUUUGGUAUUGUGAGACGAUUCUUGUGACUGGAUGGAGCAAUGUUCCAACUUAUAAAUAGAAUACAAAUACAUGGAGUGCAAGUUAAAGGACCCUAUAUGGUGGCUCUUGAAGAUUUUCACUCAAAUCUCAUGUAUUAAUCUCAAAGAUUAACCACAGAACCACAUUCUGUGUUAAAAACAACGAUUCUGGUUCUAUUGGACCGGACAAGAAAAAGAUUGAGCAAAAUCUGAAUUAUGCCUUGAAAACUUUUUGGUAUAUUUUUGAGUUACCAUUACCCAAACUUGAUAUCGUUUCAAGAAAAUCACCUGGACAUGGCAGUGAUAUAGCAGAUUAUGAAUUAGAUGAAAAUGGAAAAAUGAGUUUGUCACCAACUGGCCGUUUUCAGCUUCAAAACAAAUUGAAAAAAUUCCCUAUUUUGCCAAAUGUAUUUGCUGAUCUUCGUCCUAUUUGUAGUUUUGAAAAUGCUUUUUUGGUUUGUUUCUUACACAAACUUUCAUCAAAAUUCAAUGGCAAAUACCAACAUGAAAUUGGAGAAUUAUGCAAGAAAAAUGAUAUCUUGGGAAAAAUCUGUGGAAUAUUAUUUGAACAACCUGACGAAUUCUCUGCACUGAAACAUGGUUUUCAUCCUAAGCCUCAUUUAUCUUUGAGGUUCAUGGCUCAUUACAGAAAUAUAUUCUACAUUUUCAUGUUAUAUGCUCUGUCGUUAUUUUUCAAGUUCAGUUUUGUAUAUGCAUUGAUUCACAUUGUUUUUCUACUUGUCAUCAUAAUAUUCUUCAGUGCUUUGUUCAGUGAAGAUUGAUAUUUUCCCUUUGAUAUGCAUUUCCCUCCCUCCAGGUUCAAUAGUUGACAAAAUAUAUAAGACUGUUGCAUUUGCUGAAUCUUUUAAUUUGCAUAUAAGAAUAAUCAACUAAAGCUGUGGUGUGGAGUCUGGAAAAAUUUACACCUUCCUUCAAAUUCUUUAAAUAAUUAAGAAAAAACUAUAAUUUUUUUACUAUGCAUACUUUAUUUACCGGUAAGUGUUGACUGUUGAGUAUGCUUACAUGGUUUCUGAUUUCCUGGGUAAAGUUCCGACCUUGAUUAUCUGUUUUGAAAGUCUGAAAUUUUGACUCCUGGGAAUUUGAAGUGAACACCUUGAAUCCAUUAUUAAUAGACACAUAGCAAACUCAGACAACACACCCCUAGUUUUGAGUUCAGUUUUUUUUGAUUGUAAUAGUAAGAGUUUGAUCAACCACGCUUUUGUGUCAUCUUGCUACCCAAAAUACAUCUCUUACGACAAUAAGCUACUCCUUUUUGACAAUAAACAGUUUAGUCACAUAAAUAUGUUGUGAGCUUGUGAAUGGAUUUCUAAACAAUUUAUGUUGAGUUUUCAGUAUAGUUUGCUGACCUUUCAUCGAAAUCAUUUUCUGUUGGUAAAUACAUGAUUUUCUGCCUAAUACUGCCAAGAUUUUGUGCAGAUGUAAAAUUGCAGAAGUGAUUUUCUAAAGUCAUAGAUCAGUCAUAUCUUCUUUUAUAUUGUUGGUUUAUAAUGUUUUUAUAUAAAUUUUGUAUUUCAGUAAAGACUGAUAAUCAGUAGUGUUUAGCAGUAAUUGAGAGAAUCACAAGUGAAAUACCCCUGCCUUUCGCCAUAUAGGUAGCACAGCACAUGUAAACAAUACAAGGUUAAAGCAGAUUUAAUAAAUAUUCAACAUAACCCUGUGUCAAAAUGCCAUAUCUACACAACUUCAACCACACUGCAAGUUGUUUCCCCUUGUUAAUAGUAGAGGAUAUGGUAUUGUGGUUUGAUUAGACAGUUUGCUUUGUAUGUGUUAGCAUUUUCAUUGGAUCACAUGUAUUUAAUAUAUCAAGACAGAACAUUACUUAAAUCUUAUAAUGGCAAAAUAAAAAUUGUUCCAAAUCUAACCAUUUGUUAUAUUGCAUGACCACCACCAGUGGUUUUUGAUGAUUAUAAUUAUACAUUUAGAUACAUAAUACUUCCUUAAACAAUUUUUUUAGGUGCAAAUCCAUAUGUUAAUAUUACAAAACAUGUAAACUCCUCCAUGUUUUCUAAAAUUUCUGUAAAUUGUCAAAUUGCUAAUAAAUUGCAUGUCAUAUUGGGUACCGAUAUAUGUGUUCUUUCCAAGUGGCAAUAUAUCACAUGUUAUGUUUUGAAUAUAAGUUACCUAAGUGAUUUUUUUUGCAAUGUCAUCUGGUUGUUCUGUGAGCUGUAUUUUUAUUGUACCAGCUCAUUGCACUAUUUUAUAUCGUUUGAAUUUUUUGUUGGAUCUUUGCGAUUUUCAAAUUGCACUGAAACAACAUCAAAAUUCUUUGGAACGAAAAAAAUAUUAUUUUCAG
Non-coding RNA from Styela clava, 2878 nucleotides. Lineage: Eukaryota; Metazoa; Chordata; Ascidiacea; Stolidobranchia; Styelidae. The record is from RefSeq and is a predicted model, not a curated record.